UACCAGCCCUCCGAGUGGUAGGGAUGAUUAUUGGGCUUAAAGCGUCCGUAGCCGGCUUAGCAAGUUUCCUGUUAAACUCUGCGACUUAAUCGUUGAAUCGCGGGAAAUACUACUAGGCUAGGAGGCGGGAGAGGUCAACGGUACUUCUGGGGUAGGGGUGAAAUCCUAUAAUCCCGGGAGGACCACCAGUGGCGGAGGCUGUUGACUAGAACGCGCUCGACGGUGAGGGACGAAAGCUGGGGGAGCGAACCGGAUUAGAUACCCGGGUAGUCCCAGCUGUAAACGAUGCGGGCUAGGUGUUGGGAUGGCUACGUGCCAUUUCAGUGCCGCAGGGAAGCCAUUAAGCCCGCCGCCUGGGGAGUACGGCCGCAAGGCUGAAACUUAAAGGAAUUGGCGGGGGAGCACCACAAGGCGUGAAGCUUGCGGUUC
Molecule: ribosomal RNA, 429 nt
Filed under: uncultured archaeon
Lineage: Archaea
Description: bacterial SSU rRNA
Rfam family: Archaeal small subunit ribosomal RNA
Source: RNAcentral